This 497-nucleotide ribosomal RNA is filed under the name uncultured bacterium. RNAcentral's name for it is "partial 16S ribosomal RNA". It matches the Rfam family "Bacterial small subunit ribosomal RNA", at positions 28 to 507 of the family's 1533-position model. The record is from RNAcentral.
GAUGAACGCUGGCGGCGUGCCUAAUACAUGCAAGUCGAGCGAACAGACGAGGAGCUUGCUCCUCUGACGUUAGCGGCGGACGGGUGAGUAACACGUGGAUAACCUACCUAUAAGACUGGGAUAACUUCGGGAAACCGGAGCUAAUACCGGAUAAUAUAUUGAACCGCAUGGUUCAAUAGUGAAAGACGGUUUUGCUGUCACUUAUAGAUGGAUCCGCGCCGCAUUAGCUAGUUGGUAAGGUAACGGCUUACCAAGGCGACGAUGCGUAGCCGACCUGAGAGGGUGAUCGGCCACACUGGAACUGAGACACGGUCCAGACUCCUACGGGAGGCAGCAGUAGGGAAUCUUACGCAAUGGGCGAAAGCCUGACGGAGCAACGCCGCGUGAGUGAUGAAGGUCUUCGGAUCGUAAAACUCUGUUAUUAGGGAAGAACAAAUGUGUAAGUAACUAUGAACGUCUUGACGGUACCUAAUCAGAAAGCCACGGCUAACUACGUG